CAGGUCUAGAUUAGUCAUCGUUAGAGCCAUUUUCCAGUUGAAAGUCAUGGGACAGAGACAUAAGAAAGACAUUCAUGAUGAAAUGUAUCCAACCUUUCUGCAAUGAUAUAAUACCUUCAAGUAUUGACGGGUUGAUCAUCAUUUGAGAAGCAUCAAAAGCGUUACAGAUUUGCAGUUCUCCUAUUAGAUAAUUAAAAAAUACACUACAUAAUGAACUUUCUCGGCUAAGUUGCCCCAUAUGUAGCAUGAUAAACGCGAAUCACUACAAAAGGUUGUCAAGAUAUGGUUAGUUAUAUUAUCUUACUCGAAUGAAUUCAAUUUUUUUUGGAGUAAAUGACAGCUAACUUACUUGAUGUCGCUUAGGGUGAAUUCAAGUUUUUUUGUUGCUUUCCCCCGGUACACUGAAUGUUUUCGACAUCACCACAAUCCAUAACUUGACUGAACACAUCUGUAAAAAAAACUGUAAACAUUAGUAUAGAUUGUUACAUAAUAUAUAGUGGCUAAACCGAUUAUAUUUAUAUGUUUACCAAUUAAAAAAUUCUCAUCAAGUGUUCCAGACAAAACGGAUUGAAAGUCUGACAAAUUCAGAUACAGCUCAUCAUUAACGUGAUUAGAUCGCGUAACGACCGUAUUUUGAUUGAAAACA
Brassica rapa (field mustard) is the source of this 646-nucleotide long non-coding RNA. RefSeq lists it as uncharacterized. The record is from RefSeq and is a predicted model, not a curated record. Lineage: Eukaryota; Viridiplantae; Streptophyta; Magnoliopsida; Brassicales; Brassicaceae.